Molecule: ribosomal RNA, 884 nt
Filed under: uncultured organism
Description: bacterial SSU rRNA
Rfam family: Bacterial small subunit ribosomal RNA
Source: RNAcentral
UGCAAGUCGAGGGGCAGCAUGAAGUAGCAAUACUUUGAUGGCGACCGGCAAACGGGUGCGGAACACGUACACAACCUUCCUUUUAGUGGGGAAUAGCCCAGAGAAAUUUGGAUUAAUACCCCGUAACAUAACUGAGUGGCAUCACUCGGUUAUUAUAGCUUCGGCGCUAAAUGAUGGGUGUGCGUAUGAUUAGAUAGUUGGCGAGGUAACGGCUCACCAAGUCUACGAUCAUUAGCUGAUGUGAGAGCAUGAUCAGCCACACGGGCACUGAGACACGGGCCCGACUCCUACGGGAGGCAGCAGUAAGGAAUAUUGGUCAAUGGACGCAAGUCUGAACCAGCUAUGCCGCGUGAAGGAUUAAGGUCCUCUGGAUUGUAAACUUCUUUUAUCUGGGACGAAAAAAGGUCUUUCUAGACCCCUUGACGGUACCAGAUGAAUAAGCACCGGCUAACUCCGUGCCAGCAGCCGCGGUAAUACGGAGGGUGCAAGCGUUAUCCGGAUUCACUGGGUUUAAAGGGUGCGUAGGCGGGUAGGUAAGUCAGUGGUGAAAUCCUGGAGCUCAACUCCAGAACUGCCAUUGAUACUAUCUAUCUUGAAUAUUGUGGAGGUAAGCGGAAUAUGUCAUGUAGCGGUGAAAUGCUUAGAUAUGACAUAGAACACCCAUUGCGAAGGCAGCUUACUACGCAUAUAUUGACGCUGANGCACGAAAGCGUGGGGAUCAAACAGGAUUAGAUACCCUGGUAGUCCACGCCCUAAACGAUGGAUACUCGACAUACGCGAUACACUGUGUGUGUCUGANCGAAAGCAUUAAGUAUCCCACCUGGGAAGUACGUUCGCAAGAAUGAAACUCAAAGGAAUUGGCGGGGGUCCGCACAAGCGGUGGA